This 306-nucleotide unclassified non-coding RNA is filed under the name Hevea brasiliensis (rubber tree). The record is from RNAcentral. Lineage: Eukaryota; Viridiplantae; Streptophyta; Magnoliopsida; Malpighiales; Euphorbiaceae.
GUGUAGGUUACAAUACACUAUCAAAAGUCUGCUGUUACUUUUAACUACAGUUGUCUGAAGAAAAUUAUGUGGCAUAUUUAUGUACAAACAUAUAUUAGUAACUUAACUUUUAGAGAAAUCUUAAUUUGUUUGAGUGGCUGCAUCUUGUAAUUUUCAUAGCCAGACUGUUUCCUUUUUAUUUUGAGAAAUGAGAAUAUUUUUUUUUUGUAAGAAUAUGAAAUUAAGCUGCAGGUUUACCAUCUCCCAUGAAAUCUUAAAAUUUUAAGAGGGUUUUAUUUUACAUUGUCUUGGAUAGUUGGAUUUAUG